CACGGAAGAGGAUUAAAUCUGGUUUUCAUUCUCUAGUUUCAUGAUGUGGAUGGAGAAGAGGAGGAGGAAAAAUAUAUGAACGACUUGUGUAUAAAUUGAUAACAGGCUUGAUUAUAGUUGAUAAACGUUGAAUUAGAAAUGAUAUAAUGUUUUAUUUGUAUUUCUAUAAUUCGAUCUUAAUAUUUAAUUGUUGAAAUUAUUAUCUAAUAUGUACAAGAAGUGCAUUGAGAUGAUUAUUUGAAUUGGAGUGAGCAUUGGUUGAAAAUGAAAAGUGAAUUUAAUUAUUAA
This is a long non-coding RNA of Gossypium arboreum, 288 nucleotides long. RefSeq lists it as uncharacterized. The record is from RefSeq and is a predicted model, not a curated record. Lineage: Eukaryota; Viridiplantae; Streptophyta; Magnoliopsida; Malvales; Malvaceae. The transcript has 2 exons.